Non-coding RNA from Cordylochernes scorpioides, 73 nucleotides. Lineage: Eukaryota; Metazoa; Arthropoda; Arachnida; Pseudoscorpiones; Chernetidae. The record is from the annotation of a GenBank genome assembly.
UGUCCAGGGAUGGGAAUCGAACCCACAGUGUUCCGCUUACCGGGCAGAUGCCAUGUCCACUAGGACCUGUAAC